CAGGGAGACAACAAAAUGUUUAAUAUUAUUAUUUUGUCACCUUAGGUCGAUCGGUAUCUCACGUUCUUAAUUUAUUAAGAAUUUCAUUUCCUGAGUUUUUCUAGGUCACACCCAUUAUUUUUCCUGGGCCAUUAGCUCAGGUGGUUAGAGCGCACCCCUGAUAAGGGUGAGGUCCCUGGUUCAAGUCCAGGAUGGCCCAUAUCUCUAUGUUGGGGGUAUAGCUCAGUUGGUAGAGCGCCUGCUUUGCAAGCAGGAUGUCAGCGGUUCGAGUCCGCUUACCUCCACUGAUUACCACCUCUUCCAUAUCUAUAAGAAAGGAAUUUUUUUGGGUUUUGAUCAAAUUCUGAACGAAUCUAGCUUCCUAAUGAAAUCAUUAAGAUGCUGGACUCAUUGAAUUAAUUUCAUUGUUUUCAGAGAACCUUGACAACUGCAUAGAUUAUUUUUAAAGACAAUUAGCAUCUUUAGUGAUGCAGAUUUAUUAUUUGUGCGAACGCACUAAUAACAAUUCUAUUAAGCUGAUGCUUCAAUUUUGAAGUUAUU
RNAcentral lists this transfer RNA (540 nucleotides) under uncultured Prochlorococcus sp. RNAcentral's name for it is "partial 16S-23S ribosomal RNA intergenic spacer". The stretch from base 212 to 284 matches the Rfam family "tRNA". The record is from RNAcentral. Lineage: Bacteria; Bacillati; Cyanobacteriota; Cyanophyceae; Synechococcales; Prochlorococcaceae.